This 236-nucleotide ribosomal RNA is filed under the name Escherichia coli. Its description in RNAcentral is "partial 23S ribosomal RNA". It matches the Rfam family "Bacterial large subunit ribosomal RNA", at positions 1511 to 1744 of the family's 2925-position model. Lineage: Bacteria; Pseudomonadati; Pseudomonadota; Gammaproteobacteria; Enterobacterales; Enterobacteriaceae. The record is from RNAcentral.
UUUAAGCGUGUAGGCUGGUUUUCCAGGCAAAUCCGGAAAAUCAAGGCUGAGGCGUGAUGACGAGGCACUACGGUGCUGAAGCAACAAAUGCCCUGCUUCCAGGAAAAGCCUCUAAGCAUCAGGUAACAUCAAAUCGUACCCCAAACCGACACAGGUGGUCAGGUAGAGAAUACCAAGGCGCUUGAGAGAACUCGGGUGAAGGAACUAGGCAAAAUGGUGCCGUAACUUCGGGAGAA